Non-coding RNA from Picea glauca (white spruce), 69 nucleotides. The record is from Rfam. Lineage: Eukaryota; Viridiplantae; Streptophyta; Pinopsida; Pinales; Pinaceae.
AUGGGUGUGGCCUAAGGAAGGCCCUUGUAUUCAUGUAAGGAGAUCCAGGUUCAAAUCCUAGCACCUAUC